AAUGUGGUGUCUGAUUAUAGAGUUAUCUUGAUAGGGUAAAAAAUGUGGCCAACCCACCCUCAUUA
Molecule: transfer RNA, 65 nt
Filed under: Clinterocera nigra
Lineage: Eukaryota; Metazoa; Arthropoda; Insecta; Coleoptera; Scarabaeidae
Description: tRNA-Ile
Source: RNAcentral